AUCCAUCUUCUUUUUCUUCAAGUUUUUCAUAGUGAUUCCAAACAGGUGAUCGAGCAUUAGAACCAUGAAGUCGAGGCAUGAUGAAAUCUGAUUGACAAAGAAAUAGAGAAAGUAUUAGAUAUUAGAUCUACAUGGAGCUUGUUUUGCACAAGUAUUUGUAUUAACCAUAAUUUAACACACUCAUUAGUCAUCAAAAAAGAGAAGUCAAUCAUAAAUCAGACAUAAAGAUAAGAUAACACAUGUAUAUAAAAAUCCACCUCAAUAGUAAGACAUCUACCUUCCUUCUCCUUUAGUAGAGUUAGUGAAGGAAACCUCCAAUUUUACAUGUCAUCAAUGCAAAGUUCUUUUCCAAGUUUAGCCAAAUCUAAAGAGAAAUACGAUAACAAGUCAAGGCUCAAGGCUUAAACAAUAAAAAUAUUAAAUAAACUAUUCACAAUUUUACAUCAAUGAGGUUCUUUUCUUACCUUCUUCAAGUUGCUCAAGAAAAUCUAAA
RNAcentral lists this long non-coding RNA (493 nucleotides) under Solanum tuberosum (potato). RNAcentral's name for it is "long non-coding RNA (STUB_LNC007510)". The record is from RNAcentral. Lineage: Eukaryota; Viridiplantae; Streptophyta; Magnoliopsida; Solanales; Solanaceae.